AUACUCGCUAGGUGUCUGGCCAUCGGGACCUGCCGACUCUUGUCGGUGCCGAAGGGAAACCCGUGAAACCGAGCCACCUGGGGAAGUACGGCCGCAAGGCUGAAACUUAAAGGAAUUGGCGGGGGAGCACCACAACGGGGUGGAGCCUUGCGGUUUAAUUGGAUUCAACGCCGGAAAUCUCACCGGGACCGACAGCAAUAUGAAGGCCAGGCUGAAGACUUUGCUUGAUUAGCUGAGAGG
RNAcentral lists this ribosomal RNA (240 nucleotides) under uncultured archaeon. Its description in RNAcentral is "partial 16S ribosomal RNA". It matches the Rfam family "Archaeal small subunit ribosomal RNA", at positions 752 to 987 of the family's 1478-position model. The record is from RNAcentral.